ACGCAGCUGCCCCUUUGAAGCGGAUCCGUGAAGUAAGGGAUGGGGAGACGUAGGCUGACGUGGAGAGCUCUCCCGGCGGCGGCGGGAGGUGCGGUCACGUGGCCCGACGUUGACAUUGACGAGCGGCGGGCCCGGGCCCCGCUCCCUUUGUGGCCGUCGCAAAGGGGGAGAGCAACAGCUCGUCGCCAGCGCCCGGGGGCGAGCCCAGCGCAGGUUGGCCGGGGGGGAGCCCGGGGGGACACACUGCCGCCCUGCCACUGCCCCAGACUUAGCGGCCCGGCCCCUGGCACCCUCUGGCUCUGGAGCAGAGAGGCUUAUCAAUCCCCCCCGGGGUUAGUAAUUGGGACUUCCGCGUUGAGGAAGGGGGAAAACCGAGCCUUCCCCUCGCUAACCUCACUGAGAACAACAUAAACAAAGGCAGGCAUUUCGUUUGGAGAAGCAAAAUGCAUUCGUUACGCCUUCCCGUGUAUUUCGACCGGAUUAGAGAGGGUAAAGCCGCUCUGAAUUUGGAACCUCUGCUGCAGGACGGUUUUGCAAAGGAGAAGCGUGGCCAAGAGGAGAGAAAGCUACUUCUAGAUAGAAAACUUCAUGUUUCGGCAGCUAUUCUCUUGCUCACCAGCAGCCAAACGAUUUGCUGUUCUGACAGCCUCCCGGCGCCUUCCCAACGCGCGGGGAGUCUCUCACAAUGUGUCUCCUCACCCCCCGGGUUCCCAGCCCAGAGCUCCAGGGUCUCGGGGCUCUGAACACCUCGAAAAUGUUUAUAUUUACUGCUCGGAGCCUAGUUCUGAAAGACAAUGCUGGCGGGUUUGGCAACAAGACGGUCGCAAGCAGAGGUUUUCUCACACCAUGUAGUAUAUCAGAAAUUGAUUGACUGACGAUGCUUCUAUAAAUGUCUCUUUUUCUCCCCUUGAACACUCUCGGAGUCUUUCCCAGCACAAGAAAACAUACACACAAUGACUUAUUUCCCUCCCCCGUCUAUCCAGACACAGGUGCAAGAGACUUUUAGCAAACUUAGUCUGCGGGAGAGGGGUGUCUAGAGCCAGCGGCGGGCUCUAAACUGGUGCGAAAGCAAAUUUUCUUGGUUAUAAUGCGCCGGUACAGAAGAGCAGGCACUUUCCCCCCACUCCCACCCAGACCCACAAAGCGCCGUGUCGUUAGCACCGUUUGCAGUAAGCAGGUACCAGUCCCCUUUCGUGACAAUGUAUUUUAUGAAGAACUAAGCAGAGCGGUUUAGGGAAACAUCCCCGGUGAUCCCUUGAAAGUGAGGUGCUAGUAAUCGACAGUUAUCCCUGCAGACGGCCAUAUCCCAGGCGAUGUUC
Passer montanus (Eurasian tree sparrow) is the source of this 1319-nucleotide long non-coding RNA. RefSeq lists it as uncharacterized. The transcript is spliced from 3 exons. The record is from RefSeq and is a predicted model, not a curated record. Lineage: Eukaryota; Metazoa; Chordata; Aves; Passeriformes; Passeridae.